CGGCAACAGCUCAAAUUUGAAAUCUGGCGUCUUAGGCGUCCGAGUUGUAAUUUGUAGAGGGAGUCUCGGGUUUAGGACCGGCCCAAGUGCCUUGGAACAGGAUACCAAAGAGGGUGAGAGUCCCGUAUCCGGCUGGUACCAACGCCCGUGUGAGACCCCUUCGAC
RNAcentral lists this ribosomal RNA (165 nucleotides) under Scolecobasidium constrictum. Its description in RNAcentral is "Ochroconis constricta partial large subunit ribosomal RNA". It matches the Rfam family "Eukaryotic large subunit ribosomal RNA", at positions 99 to 261 of the family's 3401-position model. Lineage: Eukaryota; Fungi; Ascomycota; Dothideomycetes; Venturiales; Sympoventuriaceae. The record is from RNAcentral.